AUUUCUUUAUUAAUUUUUUAUAUAUAAUUUAUAUUAAAUAUAAAAAUAUAUUUUUUAAAUAAAAAGACGAUAAGACCCUAUUAAAUUUUACUUAUAGUUUAACUGGGGAAGUUUUAAAAAUAAAAUUUUUUAUAAAAAUAAAAAUAAAUCUAAUAAAAUUAAAAUUAAAUUAAAUUACUAUAGGGAUAACAGCAUUAUAUUUUUUAAAAGUUCAUAUUAAAAAAAAUGAUUGUGACCUCGAUGUUGAAUUAUAUUUUCUUUAUUAAUGCAAUAAUUAUAAAAGUAGAUCUGUUCGAUCUUUAAAAUAUUACAUGAUUUGAGUUCAAACCGGUGUAAACCAGGUUGGUUUCUAUCUUUUUAUAAAUUCAUAUAUAUAUAUAUAUAUAUAUAUAUAUAAAUUUUUCAAGUACGAAAGGAAAAAAAAAUUUUUAUUUUAAUUAAUUAGCAAUUAAUAUGCAUUAGAUUUAGAAUCUAAAUAAACUAUUAUU
Molecule: unclassified non-coding RNA, 488 nt
Filed under: Anelosimus eximius
Lineage: Eukaryota; Metazoa; Arthropoda; Arachnida; Araneae; Theridiidae
Description: partial contains 16S ribosomal RNA and tRNA-Leu (trnL)
Rfam family: Bacterial large subunit ribosomal RNA (bases 61-358)
Source: RNAcentral